This 67-nucleotide transfer RNA is filed under the name Nocardia huaxiensis. RNAcentral's name for it is "Nocardia sp. WCH-YHL-001 tRNA-Pro". The record is from RNAcentral. Lineage: Bacteria; Bacillati; Actinomycetota; Actinomycetes; Mycobacteriales; Nocardiaceae.
GCGCAGGCAACGGUUACUUCACCUGAUUCGGGUUCAGGCAGGGCCGGUUCGAUUCCGGCACGCCGUG